AGCAGUGCCUGGGAAAAAGGGAGCCGGGCACGCCGCUAUCCCCACGGAAAGGCAGAGGGGGUGUGCUGACAGCAGCCUGCCAUAAACCCCAGCACUGCAUGUCCAGAGUGGGCACGGGGAGCAGAGGGGCAGGACAGGAAUCCACGCCAAGGAACACCAGUGCUGAUGAUGGCAGCAAGGAAGGGAAACAAGAGACUCUCCUUCUGCUGCUCCAUCCCUUCCAGAGCUGUGGCCUUGUGGAGCUUUUGCCAUGGCAGAGCCAGGCAGGCACCAAAAGCCAGGGAAUUACAAGAGGCUCACAGCUGGAGGGGGCACAGUGGGACAGCCUGGCCUCAGGGCUGGACUUGAUUCCCUCGUGGAGCAAUCCCAGCUCAGCCGAGGAGCCUGGGCUCACUGUCCCCUUGCCUCCCUUGGGAUCGGCCUCUGGGGUCCUUGGGUGUCUCCAGAACCAUAAAAACAUUUUAACCAUUUUAACCUCCAUCUUCUCCUCCUCGGGCCAGCGAACAGCUGCUUAACAAAAUGGAUCUGCACACGGCAA
Molecule: non-coding RNA, 538 nt
Organism: Sturnus vulgaris (Common starling)
Lineage: Eukaryota; Metazoa; Chordata; Aves; Passeriformes; Sturnidae
Source: RefSeq, a predicted model, not a curated record